RNAcentral lists this ribosomal RNA (254 nucleotides) under uncultured bacterium. Its description in RNAcentral is "partial 16S ribosomal RNA". It matches the Rfam family "Bacterial small subunit ribosomal RNA", at positions 524 to 776 of the family's 1533-position model. The record is from RNAcentral.
UACAUGGGGUGCAAGCGUUGCUCGGAAUCAUUGGGCGUAAAGCGCGCGUAGGCGGUUACUUAAGUCGGAUGUGAAAGCCCUCGGCUUAACCGAGGAAGUGCAUCCGAAACUGAGUAGCUAGAGUACGAAAGAGGGUCGCGGAAUUCCCGGUGUAGAGGUGAAAUUCGUAGAUAUCGGGAGGAACACCGGUGGCGAAGGCGGCGUCCUGGACCAAUACUGACACUGAGUGAGCGAAAGCCAGGGGAGCAAACGGG